GUUCAACCUCAAAAUUGGUGUGCUCCAUGUGUGCACUGACUUGUUUCAGAGUUCAUCACUAUCAAAGCUGCAUGCAAAUGAUUUUUGAAAGGAUACAACAUGGGAUGUGACAUUCAUGUCUGUGUGCUUGCUUUGAUUACAGUGUGUGCUCUAUGAUUCACAUUUCUUGUAACUGAAAUGCAAAUUGCAUGGUAAAGUUCAUGUGAUGUGAUAUGUGUUUGAGAUUCAUGAUGUGCAAGUACCAUGAGGGAAAUGUGAAAAGGACUUUGAAAAGAGAAUUAAACAAAGCCUGCAUUUGCUGAUUGUAAACGUAAGUGAGGAUUGUAAUAGUAAUGUCUCUGCAUCAGUUGACAUGUCUUACGUGUUGUUGUAUGCUUGGCAUUAUGUUCAGCACCACUGAGUGUGCGUACUGGCUUUGAUUGAACUGAUUUCAUGUGGAACUGUUGAAUGAAGAUGCAUGUACACUUGUGUGAAGUAAUGUACGCACCAACUGUGAUCAUGCACUGUUUGCACA
Molecule: ribosomal RNA, 514 nt
Filed under: Ostreopsis cf. siamensis MGP-2015
Lineage: Eukaryota; Dinophyceae; Peridiniales; Ostreopsidaceae
Description: LSU rRNA
Rfam family: Eukaryotic large subunit ribosomal RNA
Source: RNAcentral